This 610-nucleotide ribosomal RNA is filed under the name Aporcelaimellus sp. MCb17f-r. Its description in RNAcentral is "SSU rRNA". It matches the Rfam family "Eukaryotic small subunit ribosomal RNA", at positions 1028 to 1662 of the family's 1831-position model. The record is from RNAcentral. Lineage: Eukaryota; Metazoa; Nematoda; Enoplea; Dorylaimida; Aporcelaimidae.
AACCGUAAACGAUGACAACCAGCGAUUAAUCGGCGUUAAUAUAUGACCCGAUUAGCAGCUUCCGGGAAACCAAAGUUUUUCGUUUCCGGGGGAAGUAUGGUUGCAAAGCUGAAACUUAAAGGAAUUGACGGAAGGGCACCACCAGGAGUGGAGCCUGCGGCUUAAUUUGACUCAACACGGGAAAACUCACCCGGCCCGGACACCGUAAGGAUUGACAGACUGAGAGCUCUUUCUUAAUUCGGUGGGUGGUGGUGCAUGGCCGUUCUUAGUUGGUGGAGCGAUUUGUCUGGUUAAUUCCGAUAACGAACGAGACUCUGGCCUAUUAAAUAGACGAUAUAUUUAAAAGUAUAUCGCGCUUCUUAGAGGGACAAGCGGCGUCUAGCCGCAUGAAAUAGAGCAAUAACAGGUCUGUGAUGCCCUUAGAUGUCCGGGGCUGCACGCGCGCUACACUGAAAGAAUCAGUGUGCGUUACGCCUAGUUCGGAAGAACCGGGUAACCCAAGUAAAUUCUUUCGUGCUUGGGAUAGGGAAUUGCAAUUAUUUCCCUUAAACGAGGAAUUCCCAGUAAAUGCGGGUCAUAAGCUCGCGUUGAUUACGUCCCUGCCCCUUUG